This 274-nucleotide ribosomal RNA is filed under the name uncultured bacterium. RNAcentral's name for it is "partial 16S ribosomal RNA". It matches the Rfam family "Bacterial small subunit ribosomal RNA", at positions 523 to 796 of the family's 1533-position model. The record is from RNAcentral.
AUACGGAGGGUGCAAGCGUUAAUCGGAAUUACUGGGCGUAAAGGGCGCGUCGGUGGUUAGGUCAGUCGGAUGUGAAAGCCCCGGGCUCAACCUGGGAAUGCCAUUCGAUACUGCCUGACUAGAGUAUGGUAGAGGGAAGCGGAAUUCCGGGUGUAGCGGUGAAAUGCGUAGAUAUCCGGAGGAACACCAGUGGCGAAGGCGGCUUCCUGGAUCAAUACUGACACUGAGGCGCGAAAGCGUGGGGAGCAAACAGGAUUAGAAACCCCGGUAGUCC